UCAGUCAUAAACCUGGUUGCACAAGAGCGUUGCUCAGUCGAAUACCUCGUUAGAGAAGAGAGUCUCUCAGUCAUAAACCAGCUUAAGCAAGAGCAUCGCUGAAUGGAAUACCUGUUUAAACAAGAGCGGUCAGUAUGGUGAUGAAAAUGGACGGUCUCGCCUGGAUAAACCGGUUUACAUAAUCUUUUGCACGAAUCACUACCAGUUAACGUAGAAGCAGCAUACAAUCAGUAAGGAGACGUGUUGGCCUUUUAUACAAGAAGAUUUGAGGACAAAGGCAAAAAUGACUCAGUUCAUUGUCUGAAUUCAGCUGAACGAAAAAUCAUCUUUUGAAUUAUGUGGAAUUCUUACAGACAGUCGUUGAAUGUAAAUGAGACGAAGAUAUCUGUGGAUUUAUGCAUAGGAGAUGUGGCUACUACGGAGAAAAUCAAAUUAAUUGAACAGCAGAGCAGGGAAGAGGGGCAGAAUUGCCUUCCUCUACUAUUCAAUAUGUUUACCGUUCCAACAAUGCCCAACGUAACCAUGAGUAACAGCAAUUUAUUUGAAGAAUACGUACGCAACGCUGGAAGAACUCAGCAGCUGGAUUAAUUGACAUACGCCUGAACAUGACUGCUUUAAUUUGCUUAGAAAAUUGUAAUAAACAAUUCUGUUUAUUCAAACUGAUGGUCUCUAUGGUAGUUGACAUCAGAUAUAAAUAUACGCGCCCAGUACAUUGCUUUCAGUGACUACGGUUUACCACCACAUCGUCACGGGAAAUGCAUGCGCCUGGAAAUGGACCCGUCUUUGCCAUUUAUUAUUCUUCUCUCGCCGUAUUCGGUGUUCUAGGAACGUGGUUUGGUUUAGCAUUACACAUGUCUGCGUUUGGAUGACAACAAACCUGAACUUCAACUUGCUCUUUCAGUAUCGGCUGCUUAUUAUCAGCGAACUAACUGAUACUGGUUUCGUUUGAAUAAUUAUUUAAACUAACUUUGUAACGACUGUGAUCCUGUCGCAAGGAAAGUGCGGCCUUUCGAAAUGUAUCACCCGCUACCUGGUGUCCAUGGCGGUGACAGAUCUCCUGGUCAUUAUCACGGCUGUGAUACUGAGUCGACUUCGGGCUAUUUACUUCCCCGCCACUUUCCUGUCCACCACUCCGGCCUGCAGUCUCGUCAUUGUCCUCAGCUGCGCUUCCCGAGACACUUCCGUCUGGUUAACGGUCGCUUUUACCUACGACCGCUUCAUAGCCAUUUGCUGCCAACAGAUGAAGCUCAGAUACUGCACUGAGAAAACCGCAGCCAUUGUGAUUGGAGUAGUUUGCGUGUUGGGCUGUUUGAAAAACGUCCCCUUUUACUUCAUCUAUGAGCCUGUUUAUGUUAUGAAUAACGUCCCUUGGUACUGCAGCAUAAAAGAUGCCUAUUACAAAUCAGCUGGGUGGAGCUGUUUUGACUAUCUGGACCGUAUUUUAAACCCCUGCCUUCCGUUCGUCCUGAUUUUGCUGUUUAACGCUCUGACUGUCAGGUUCAUUCUCGCGGCCAGCAGAGCCCGGAGGAGACUCCGUGUCCAGAACAACGGGGCAAAACAGAGCGACCCCGAGAUGGAGAGCAGGAGAAAGUCCAUUAUUUUACUUUUCGCCAUUUCGGCAAGUUUUAUCCUCUUGUGGUUGACCUACGUUGUCAAUUUCGUGUUUGUACAAAUAACAAGCAAAACAUAUUCUGUCGUUUUCAAUGGCAGCAACUCAAAGUUUAUCCUUCAGGAGAGCGGGUACAUGUUGCAGCUUCUUAGCUCCUGCACCAACACGUGUAUUUAUGCAGGGACGCAGACCAAAUUCAGAGAGCAGUUGAAGACCGCGGUGAAAUAUCCAUUCGAAUUAAUUGUAAAAUUGUUAAAAUAAUGAUAUUAACGGGAAAAUGAUGCUACUUUCAAUUGUAGUAUCAAUAAUAUCAAUUAAAAUGAAGAAUAGUGCUAAUCUGGAUUGGAACUGCAUCUGAGCUGGUGUCUUAUGUUUUAUGGUCAGCUAGAUGUUAGUACAAGAUGCUUAUGAAGGACAAGCAAUGUAACCCGGUGGUUGUAAGCAUAAGGGUACAAAUAGUUUUACACUUCCUGUCAAAAAUAGCAAAAUUAAAUUCCAUUA
Molecule: RNA transcript, 2110 nt
Organism: Hypanus sabinus (Atlantic stingray)
Lineage: Eukaryota; Metazoa; Chordata; Chondrichthyes; Myliobatiformes; Dasyatidae
Gene name: probable G-protein coupled receptor 139
Exons: 6
Source: RefSeq, a predicted model, not a curated record